RNAcentral lists this ribosomal RNA (253 nucleotides) under uncultured prokaryote. RNAcentral's name for it is "partial 16S ribosomal RNA". It matches the Rfam family "Bacterial small subunit ribosomal RNA", at positions 525 to 777 of the family's 1533-position model. The record is from RNAcentral.
ACGGAGGGUGCAAGCGUUAUCCGGAUUCACUGGGUUUAAAGGGUGCGUAGGCGGAAUUGUAAGUCCGUGGUGAAAUCUCCGAGCUUAACUCGGAAACUGCCGUGGAUACUAUAGUUCUUGAAUGUUGUGGAGGUUUGCGGAAUAUGUCAUGUAGCGGUGAAAUGCUUAGAUAUGACAUAGAACACCGAUUGCGAAGGCAGCAGGCUACACAAAUAUUGACGCUGAGGCACGAAAGCGUGGGGAUCAAACAGGA